AUCUUAUCAAGAGCAGGCGGAGGGACUAGCCCGAUGAAGCCCGGCAACCGGCGUGUAUCAGCAACGCACGGUGCUAAUUCUUGCGGAAACGUAAAGUUUCUGACAGAUGAGAG
RNAcentral lists this non-coding RNA (113 nucleotides) under Cohnella sp. RNAcentral describes it as "SAM-I sequence". It matches the Rfam family "SAM riboswitch aptamer (S box leader)". Rfam says of the family: The SAM riboswitch is found upstream of a number of genes which code for proteins involved in methionine or cysteine biosynthesis in Gram-positive bacteria. The SAM riboswitch acts at the level of transcription termination control. Lineage: Bacteria; Bacillati; Bacillota; Bacilli; Caryophanales; Paenibacillaceae. The record is from RNAcentral.